GCACGUGGGAGUUGGGUACUCUGUGGGGACCGCCGGUGUUAAAUCGGAGGAAGGUGCGGGCCACGGUAGGUCAGUAUGCCCCGAAUUUCCCGGGCUACACGCGGGCUACAAUGAAUGGGACAAUGGGUCCCUACCCUGAAAAGGGCUGGUAAUCUCACAAACCCAUCCGUAGUUCGGAUCGAGGGCUGUAACUCGCCCUCGUGAAGCUGGAAUCCGUAGUAAUCGCGUUUCAAUAUAGCGCGGUGAAUACGUCCCUGCUCCUUGCA
This 266-nucleotide ribosomal RNA is filed under the name uncultured archaeon. RNAcentral's name for it is "partial 16S ribosomal RNA". It matches the Rfam family "Archaeal small subunit ribosomal RNA", at positions 1076 to 1341 of the family's 1478-position model. The record is from RNAcentral.